Molecule: long non-coding RNA, 1919 nt
Filed under: Ananas comosus (pineapple)
Lineage: Eukaryota; Viridiplantae; Streptophyta; Magnoliopsida; Poales; Bromeliaceae
Description: long non-coding RNA (ACOM_LNC015025)
Source: RNAcentral
UACGUUAGAUAAAAUUAUUUAAUAGAAUUAAAUAAAAAUGUUAAUUUAUAUAUAUAUCUCUUGCUGUUUGAAGAGAGAGAAGAGAAAAUUAAAUAAAAAUUAAAGUGAGAGAGAGCACUUUCAAACUUUCAAAUAUAGUAUAUUUUACUCAUAAUGUAGAAAAAUAAAAUUAAAGAUCUUUGAAAAUAUAUAGUUAUUAAAUUCAAUUUUAAAAUUAUUUUAAAUAUCUAUAUCUUCUAUAUGGAGGAAGUGAAAAAAGAGAGCAUUAAAUUAAAAAUUAAACUAAGGGAGAGAGAAAAACGGCAUGCACAUUUCUCGAUUAGAGAGAAAAAGUAUGAACAUUAAAUUAAAUAAAAAUUAAGUAAGAGAGAAAGUACAGUAGGGAUUUAAAAUUCUAAUUUUUGAAGUUGAAAAUUUGGGAAUAAAUAUUAUAAAUUUUAAAAUUGUAAAAUUUAAAUUUUGAAAUUUGAAAUUUGGAAUUUAAAAUUUUGAUGUCCAAAAUUUAAAAUUUUAGAAUAUAAAAUUUUAAAAUUCUAUAUAUAUAAAGAGAGAGAGAGAGAAGAGAGAGAGAGAGAGAGAGAGAGAGAGAGUCCGGCUACUUUACUCUUAUAAGUAUGAUCGCCCUCGUACUCAUAAGUUGUUUUUAAUGAUAGAGUUUUCGAAUCGACAAUCCAUACUGCUAAAUAUUAUCUAGAGCAUUUAAAACUUGUAGAAAUCAAAUUUCAUAAUUUUUCAACAUUAUUUAUCUUACCAUCAAAAGGUCACAAAAUUGUCAAUUUUUAACGAUCGGUAUGAGAUACUUGCUAGUUUAACGGUGCAAUAGAAUUAGAAUAGGUUAAAUUUUUGAUAAAAAAAUUCUAUUCACUACUUAGAUAAAGAUCAAUAACUCUGAUCUUACACUAAAUGAUCUGAUCAUCCAUUUUUAGGUCGUUAUUCGAUUUUGAUCAUUUAUUUUAUGCCCGCUUGAUGAUUUUAUUAUAAUUUCGAAAAAUUACGAAAUUUACUUUUUAGAAGUUUCAAAUAUUUUAGAUCAUAUUUAACAGAAUGGAGAGAGAGAGAGAGAGAGAGAGAGCGCUAGGCUAGUAUACUAUCAGAAGCACCGAGGCCUUUGUGCUACCAAGUUGUUAUCAAUGAUGCAGCUUUCAAAUCGACGAUCAAUUUCGUUAGACUUGAGCUACACUAUUAAAAGUAUUUAGAAAGUAAAUUUUAUAAUUUUUCGACAUCAUUUGGCUAAUGAUCAAAAAGUCUCAAAAUUGACAAUUUUAAUGAUCGAUAUGAUACGUUUGUGAAUUUAACGGUAUAAAAUAAUUUAAAUCUGAUGAAUUUUUUAUUGAAAAUUCUUUUCACUAUUUAGAGUAAAGGUGUAUUUGGUUCGCUCUUUUUCACUCUAGAUCGGAAUCGGAAUGGGCGAAUUCGUUUGUGGGUAUUUGGUAUGCGGGAGUCGCAUUCCCAUUCUGAUUUCGUUUGCUGAGUGGAAUAGGAAUCCCCCAAUCAUCUUUUUUUCCAAUCCAGCCUAGGAGGCUGGAUUGGAAGUUGAAUUCGGACGGAAUGGAUAUUUAUUCAGAUUAAAUUUAUUUUUUCAACUUUUUUAAUUAAAAAAUGAGUUUAAAUUUAGAAAUUAAAUUUAUAAUUUUAAAUUUUAUUUUGNCAGCUUUCAAAUCAACGAUCAGUUUCAUUAGACUUGAUCUACACUAUUAAAAGUAUUUGGAAAGUAAAUUUCAUAAUUUUUCGACAUCAUUUGGCUAGUGAUCAAAAAGUCUCAAAAUUGACAAUUUUAAUGAUCGAUAUGAUACGUUUGUGAAUUUAACGGUAUAAAACAAUCCAAAUCCGAUGAAUUUUUUAAGAAAAUUCUUUUCACUAUUUAGAGUAAGGGUGUAUUUAGUUCGCUCUUUUUCACUCUGGAUCGAAAUCGGAAUGGG